UCAGUGGUGGUUCAGUGGGAGAAUUCUCGCCUUCUGUGAGGGAGACCUGGGUUCAAUUCCCGGCCAAUGCA
Loxodonta africana (African savanna elephant) is the source of this 71-nucleotide transfer RNA. It matches the Rfam family "tRNA". Rfam says of the family: Transfer RNA (tRNA) molecules are approximately 80 nucleotides in length. Their secondary structure includes four short double-helical elements and three loops (D, anti-codon, and T loops). NCBI's taxonomy places the organism in Eukaryota, Metazoa, Chordata, Mammalia, Proboscidea, Elephantidae. The record is from Rfam.